GAUGAACGCUGGCGGCGUGCUUAACACAUGCAAGUCGAACGAAGCACUUAAGAUUGAUUCUUCGGAUGACGUCUUUUGUGACUUAGUGGCGGACGGGUGAGUAACGCGUGGGUAACCUGCCUCACACAGGGGGAUAACAGUUAGAAAUGACUGCUAAUACCGCAUAACCCGAUAGGAUCGCAUGAUCCAGACGGAAAAGAUUUAUCGGUGUGAGAUGGACCCGCGUCUGAUUAGCUAGUUGGUGAGGUAACGGCCCACCAAGGCGACGAUCAGUAGCCGGCCUGAGAGGGUGAACGGCCACAUUGGGACUGAGACACGGCCCAAACUCCUACGGGAGGCAGCAGUGGGGGAUAUUGCACAAUGGGGGAAACCAUGAUGCAGCGACGCCGCGUGAGUGAAGAAGUAUUUCGGUAAGUAAAGCUCUAUCAGCAGGGAAGAAAAUGACGGUACCUGAAGAAGAAGCCCCGGCUAACUACGUG
Molecule: ribosomal RNA, 479 nt
Filed under: uncultured bacterium
Lineage: Bacteria
Description: partial 16S ribosomal RNA
Rfam family: Bacterial small subunit ribosomal RNA
Source: RNAcentral